This 444-nucleotide ribosomal RNA is filed under the name Cambarus unestami. RNAcentral describes it as "partial 16S ribosomal RNA". It matches the Rfam family "Bacterial large subunit ribosomal RNA", at positions 1967 to 2625 of the family's 2925-position model. The record is from RNAcentral. Lineage: Eukaryota; Metazoa; Arthropoda; Malacostraca; Decapoda; Cambaridae.
AUUAGUUUUUUAAUUGAAGGCUAGAAUGAAUGGUUGGACAAGAAAUAAUCUGUCUCAGAUCAAUAUAUUGAAUUUAACUUUUAAGUGAAAAGGCUUAAAUAAUCUGAAGGGACGAUAAGACCCUAUAAAACUUUAUAUUUAGAAGUGGUGGGUAAGUUUUGUUUGUAGUUUAAUUACUUUAAAAUAUUUGGUUGGGGUGACAAGGAUAGAAUAGCAAGUAACUGUUUUUUUUUAAAACAAUGAUGUUUGGAUUAAUGAUCCUAAAGGGAUUAAAAGAUUAAGUUACUUUAGGGAUAACAGCGUAAUUUUCUUUAAGAGUUCUUAUCGAUAAGAGAGUUUGCGACCUCGAUGUUGAAUUAAAGGUUCUUUAUGGAGUAGAGACUAUAAAAGAAGGUCUGUUCGACCUUUAAAACUUUACAUGAUUUGAGUUCAGACCGGUGUGAG